GGCGCUGCUGGUGUGGCCACCGUAGCGAAAAGGGUCUGAUCGGGGUGACCAGGCGGUGACCCGACGUUUCUCCGAGUUCAACGUAGAACUGAAGAAAUCAGCGCACAAAAUCUCUAUUCCAAACUGUUUGAAUCUAAUAAUAUUGACCCCAGAUCUCCAAAAUCGAAAUUAAUUGACUAAUUUAUGCUGUAAACAUCAAGAAAACUAAAAAAAAAAUGAAGGACAAUCUGUAUUUGGAGAAGAAACACAGCUAGGGUUGCAGAAAGAUUGGGGAAAGAGACAG
RNAcentral lists this long non-coding RNA (283 nucleotides) under Brassica napus (rape). Its description in RNAcentral is "long non-coding RNA (BNAP_LNC014805)". Lineage: Eukaryota; Viridiplantae; Streptophyta; Magnoliopsida; Brassicales; Brassicaceae. The record is from RNAcentral.